GACAGAGGUGCCAAGCGUUAGGCGGAAUCACUGGGCUUAAAGCGUGUGUAGGCGGAUGCCUAAGUACCUUGUGAAAUCCCACGGCUCAACCGUGGAACUGCUUGGUAUACUGGGUGUCUUGAGCCAUCUAGGGGCUACCGGAACAAAUGGUGGAGCGGUGAAAUGCGUAGAUAUCAUUUGGAACGCCAAUGGUGAAAACAGGUAGCUGGGGAUGUGCUGACGCUGAGGCACGAAAGCCAGGGGAGCAAACGGG
Molecule: ribosomal RNA, 253 nt
Filed under: uncultured bacterium
Lineage: Bacteria
Description: partial 16S ribosomal RNA
Rfam family: Bacterial small subunit ribosomal RNA
Source: RNAcentral